Molecule: ribosomal RNA, 461 nt
Filed under: uncultured bacterium
Lineage: Bacteria
Description: SSU rRNA
Rfam family: Bacterial small subunit ribosomal RNA
Source: RNAcentral
AGAGCGAACGCUGGCGGCAGGCUUAACACAUGCAAGUCGAGCGCCCCGCAAGGGGAGCGGCAGACGGGAGAGUAACACGUGGGAACAUACCUUUUGGUUCGGAACAACUGAGGGAAACUUCAGCUAAUACCGGAUAAGCCCUUACGGGGAAAGAUUUAUCGCCGAAAGAUUGGCCCGCGUCUGAUUAGCUAGUUGGUGAGGUAAUGGCUCACCAAGGCGACGAUCAGUAGCUGGUCUGAGAGGAUGAUCAGCCUCAUUGGGACUGAGACACGGCCCAAACUCCUACGGGAGGCAGCAGUGGGGAAUAUUGGACAAUGGGCGCAAGCCUGAUCCAGCCAUGCCGCGUGAGUGAUGAAGGCCUUAGGGUUGUAAAGCUCUUUUAGUAGGGAAGAAGCGAAGUGUUUUACAUGGAGUGACGGUACCUGCAGAAAAGCACCGGCUAACUACGUGCCAGCAGCCGC